Etheostoma spectabile (orangethroat darter) is the source of this 655-nucleotide long non-coding RNA. RefSeq lists it as uncharacterized. The record is from RefSeq and is a predicted model, not a curated record. The transcript has 2 exons. NCBI's taxonomy places the organism in Eukaryota, Metazoa, Chordata, Actinopteri, Perciformes, Percidae.
GUUGUCAUGGUAUGGUUAAGGUGGGGGGGGUUAAGGUUAGGCAUUUAGGUUUGAUGGUUAAAGUUAGGGUAAGGGGCUAGGGAAUGCAUUAUGUCAAUGACUGGUCCCCACAAAGAUAGUGAGACGUGUGUGUGUGUGUGUUUAGAGGCAGAGGGUAGAUGGGUAGCUCUGUGGUGUUGUGUGUUUGUGUGUGUGGGUGUGUGUGUGUGUCGUGUGUGCGUGUGUGUGUGUGUGUGAGCCUGGCUGGCUGUGCCAAUGGCGUUUCUCGGGAACAGACGGCGCCGCCAGCCGGGCCUCACCACGCUCACUCAGCUGGCGAUCCGGGGACAAAAUGGUUUAUUUCUUCUGAAAAUACAAUUUCUGAAUCCUGUUUCAUGUGUUUCUCCAUUGUUCAGUAUGUCUGUGUUUUUUUUUUUUUAAAUAAUUGUGAUUUGAUUUCUUUUUUUUUUUACUAUAUUGAAUUCUAUAACUGACUGUAAUUCCAGUGUCAACGUGUUGAGAGUGAAAUGUCAUUUCAAUGGAUUUGAAAGGUUGAAUGUGAGGGGGGUCAAAAUGAAUGGUUUUAUGUUUUGUACAGAUUGAUAAAUUGUACAAUUGUGUCUAUAUCUUAAGUUAUCAGUUCAUCUUAAUAAAGCGCACCAGUCAUAAACCUUUA